CAUAUUCACCCGCCCGCCCGCCCGCCCGCCGCCGCCUCCUCCCCCUUCCAUCUUCGCCGAAACCCUAACCCUAGUCGCCGCGGCCGCGCUUCCCCCGGCGACGCCGCCAUGUCGAACCCGAAGGGCUCCAAGAUGCUCCAGUUCAUCAACUACCGCAUGCGGGUGACGAUCCAGGACGGGCGCCAGCUCGUGGGCAAGUUCAUGGCGUUCGACCGCCACAUGAACCUCGUCCUCGGCGACUGCGAGGAGUUCCGCCGCCUCCCGCCCUCCAAGUCCUCCAAGACCACGGGCGACCGCGAGGAGCGCCGCACGCUCGGCCUCCUCCUCCUCCGCGGCGAGGAGGUCGUCUCCAUGACCGUCGAGGGCCCGCCGCCGCCCGACGAGUCGCGCGCCAAGGCCGCCGCGGCGGGCGGGGCCCUCGCCGGCCCUGGCGUCGGCCGCGCCGCGGGACGCGGUGUGCCCACCGGCCCGCUGCUCCAGGCAGCUCCUGGGCUCGCUGGCCCUGUGCGCGGCGUGGGCGGACCCGCCCCCGGCAUGAUGCAGCCCCAGAUCUCGCGGCCGCCGAUGCCCAACCUGUCGGCCCAGCCGGUGUCGUACCCGCAGGUCGUGCGCCCGCCGCAGGGAAUGCCUCCGCCAAUGCGUCCUGGAAUGCAGCCGCAGAUGCCGAUGCCGUUCCGCCCGCCUGGUGUGCCGCCUGCUCCGUUCCCUGGUGCACCACAACAGUUUAUGAGGGGUCCGCCCCCGAUGGGGCCGCCACAGGUGAGGCCCGGGAUGCCGGGGCCACCACCUCCUGGAAUGAGGCCUGGGAUGGCUCCGCCGCCCUUUGGACAGCCGAGGCCAGGGAUGCAGCCCCCGCCACCUGGUCCACAGCAGCCUGGACAGAACCCGCCGCAGUAGCUUCUUCUUACCCGAGAAGGCACAGGGUAGCAGCAGGGUAGUGGUUGCAUGCACUCCAGGCCUCCAGCAUUUCCUGGGAUAAGCUUCUUUCAGAUACACUUAUGGAAGAUUUUUGUAUCGCGAGAAAGGAUCAAUCGCACCUCUGGAAGGCUUGUGAAUUGCACCAAUGCUUCACCAUUCUGUCUUAUAUAUCAGGGUACUAGUAGUUUCCUUUGGGUAUUGUGAGAGAAGUGUGUACCACUCAUCCUUUGAUGUGAGAGGGGACUUUUGUACGUAAAGAGGCGAGGGCUUAUUUUUAACUGUUGGUGUUGGUUAAGUUAGGAAAUAUGGAUAACUUGUAUCAUCUUUGUCUGAAGUCUGGACCCUUACCAGAUGUGUGUGCACUGCAGUCCUGUUAUUCGGUGUUCAUUCGUGCUUCUUAAGCCCUUGUUUAUCUCAAAGUAAAAGUACUUUAUGUGUUUGGUGACGAACUGAGAUAAUUGACUUAGAGAAAAGUUUAUAUACAUAUAAGUA
Molecule: RNA transcript, 1410 nt
Organism: Sorghum bicolor (sorghum)
Lineage: Eukaryota; Viridiplantae; Streptophyta; Magnoliopsida; Poales; Poaceae
Gene name: small nuclear ribonucleoprotein-associated protein N
Exons: 3
Source: RefSeq, a predicted model, not a curated record